UACGUAGGGUGCAAGCGUUGUCCGGAAUUAUUGGGCGUAAAGAGUUCGUAGGUGGUUCGUUAAGUCUGAUGUUAAAGACUGGGGCUCAACCCUGGAAGUGCAUUGGAUACUGGCGGACUUGAGUGUGGUAGAGGCAAUCGGAAUUCCAGGUGUAGCGGUGAAAUGCGUAGAUAUCUGGAAGAACACCGGUGGCGCAAGCGGAUUGCUGGGCCAUAACUGACACUGAGGAACGAAAGCUAGGGGAGCGAAUGGG
RNAcentral lists this ribosomal RNA (253 nucleotides) under uncultured bacterium. RNAcentral describes it as "partial 16S ribosomal RNA". It matches the Rfam family "Bacterial small subunit ribosomal RNA", at positions 524 to 776 of the family's 1533-position model. The record is from RNAcentral.